Molecule: ribosomal RNA, 261 nt
Filed under: uncultured bacterium
Lineage: Bacteria
Description: partial 16S ribosomal RNA
Rfam family: Bacterial small subunit ribosomal RNA
Source: RNAcentral
CAGAGGGAUGCUACCGGGCGACCGGAUGCGGAUCUCGAAAGCCUGUCCCAGUUCGGACUGGAGUCUGCAACCCGACUCCACGAAGUUGGAUUCGCUAGUAAUCGCGCAUCAGCCAUGGCGCGGUGAAUACGUUCCCGGGUCUUGUACACACCGCCCGUCACACCAUGGGAGUCGGAAAUGCCCGAAGUCUGUGACCCAACCUACGGGAGGGAGCAGCCGAAGGCAGGUCGGAUGACUGGGGUGAAGUCGUAACAAGGUACC